Molecule: ribosomal RNA, 817 nt
Filed under: uncultured bacterium
Lineage: Bacteria
Description: bacterial SSU rRNA
Rfam family: Bacterial small subunit ribosomal RNA
Source: RNAcentral
GAUAAACGCUGGCGGCGUGCCUAACACAUGCAAGUCGCACGUCCUGUCGCCUCGUGCGGCAGGGAGUGGCGGACGGGUGAGUAGCGCGUGGGUAUCUACCUUGGGGUGAGGAAUACCGGCGAGAAAUCGCCGACAAGACCGCAUACGCUUCGCUUCGCAAGAGGGGAAGCAAAGUCGCAAGACGCCCGAAGAUGAGCCUGCGUCCGAUUAGCCUGUUGGUGGGGUAAAGGCCUACCAAAGCGACGAUCGGUAGCUGGUCUGAGAGGACGAUCAGCCACACUGGGAUUGAGAACGGCCCAGACUCCUACGGGGGGCAGCAGUGAGGAAUUUUCGGCAAUGGGGGCAACCCUGACCGAGCAACGCCGCGUGCAGGAUGAAGGUUUUCGGAUCGUAAACUGCUUUUCUGGGGGAAGAGAACGGACGGUACCCCAGGAAGAAGCCCCGGCUAACUACGUGCCAGCAGCCGCGGUAAUACGUAGGGGGCGAGCGUUGUCCGGAGUUACUGGGCGUAAAGGGCGUGCAGGCGGUCGGCCAAGUUUGCCGUGACAGUGCCCGGCUUAACCGGGCAAGGGUUGGCGAAGACUGGUUGACUUGAGGGCCGGAGAGGGACACAGAAUUCCGGGUGGAGUGGUGAAAUGCGUAGAUAUCCGGAGGAAUACCAAAGGCGAAGGCAGUGUCCUGGAAGGUACCUGACGCUGAGGCGCGAAAGCCAGGGGAGCGAACAGGAUUAGAUACCCUGGUAGUCCUGGCCGUAAACGAUGACCACCAGAUGUGCGGGGUAUCGACCCCCCGCGUGUCGUAGCUUACGUUAUGAGUG